Molecule: non-coding RNA, 534 nt
Organism: Camellia sinensis
Lineage: Eukaryota; Viridiplantae; Streptophyta; Magnoliopsida; Ericales; Theaceae
Source: RefSeq, a predicted model, not a curated record
UCCCAAUUAUCGAAUCAUUAGGUUUUAGAGGUUUCGGUUGUCUUGAUCAGAAUCGGAGUUAGUGUUGUGGUUUUGUUUGAAUUUCUGUGCGAUCGGUGACAUGAAGAUCGAAGAGUUGGACGAGGUUGAAUCUGAUGGAAGGAGUUACAAUCACAGUGAUUUCUGGAAGAAUGAUUGUUCGGGUCGAGCAAAGAGAGCGCUAGUCGGAGCUGGGGCUCGGAUCCUGUUCUACCCGACCCUUCUGUACAAUGUUUUCCGGAACAAGAUUCAAGCUGAGUUCAGUGGUGGGACCAAAUUGAUCGGUAUCUUCUGCUGGGGGCGGUUCCAUUCCCUAAGGAUGUUUUGCAGUUGAAGCAGCUUGGUGUUGGCGCUGUCAUCACCCUUAAUGAGCCUUAUGAAACGUUGGUUCCAACAUCAUUUUACCAUGUGAGGUGAUGUCGUCUGCGCUGAUUCGGCGGCUGGGGAUUGGGAGGUCACGGCUCAGGUCCAGGGAUUUCAAGAACAUGUCCAUUUUUGCCACAAUUGACAAGGUUA